RNAcentral lists this ribosomal RNA (253 nucleotides) under uncultured bacterium. RNAcentral describes it as "partial 16S ribosomal RNA". It matches the Rfam family "Bacterial small subunit ribosomal RNA", at positions 524 to 776 of the family's 1533-position model. The record is from RNAcentral.
UACGUAGGGAUCGAGCGUUGUCCGGAUUCAUUGGGCGUAAAGAGCUCGUAGGCGGCUGCUCAAGUCGAAUGUGAAAACUCGAGGCUCAACCUCGAGCCUGCAUUCGAUACUGGGCGGCUAGAGUCUGGUAGGGGGAUCUGGAAUUCCUGGUGUAGCGGUGGAAUGCGCAGAUAUCAGGAGGAACACCGGUGGCGAAGGCGGGUCUCUGGGCCGAUAUUGACGCUGAGGAGCGAAAGCGUGGGGAGCGAACAGG